UACGUAGGUGGCAAGCGUUGUCCGGAUUUAUUGGGUUUAAAGGGUGCGUAGGCGGCUUUGUAAGUCAGUGGUGAAAUAUGGCAGCUCAACUGUCAAGGUGCCAUUGAUACUGCAGAGCUUGAGUACAGAUGAGGUAGGCGGAAUUGACGGUGUAGCGGUGAAAUGCUUAGAUAUCGUCAAGAACACCUAUAGCGAAGGCAGCUUACUAGGCUGUAACUGACGCUGAGGCCCGAAAGUGUGGGGAUCAAACAGG
Molecule: ribosomal RNA, 253 nt
Filed under: uncultured bacterium
Lineage: Bacteria
Description: partial 16S ribosomal RNA
Rfam family: Bacterial small subunit ribosomal RNA
Source: RNAcentral